RNAcentral lists this non-coding RNA (24 nucleotides) under Mus musculus (house mouse). Lineage: Eukaryota; Metazoa; Chordata; Mammalia; Rodentia; Muridae. The record is from RNAcentral.
UGAACUUUGACCUGGAUCUGAUCU